RNAcentral lists this ribosomal RNA (702 nucleotides) under Actinomycetes bacterium. Its description in RNAcentral is "bacterial SSU rRNA". It matches the Rfam family "Bacterial small subunit ribosomal RNA", at positions 75 to 792 of the family's 1533-position model. Lineage: Bacteria; Bacillati; Actinomycetota; Actinomycetes. The record is from RNAcentral.
GCCUUUCGGGGUGGAUUAGUGGCGAACGGGUGAGUAACACGUGGGCAAUCUGCCCUGCACUCUGGGACAAGCCCUGGAAACGGGGUCUAAUACCGGAUACGACACAUCACUGCAUGGUGAAUGUGUGGAAAGCUCCGGCGGUGCAGGAUGAGCCCGCGGCCUAUCAGCUUGUUGGUGGGGUAAUGGCCUACCAAGGCGACGACGGGUAGCCGGCCUGAGAGGGCGACCGGCCACACUGGGACUGAGACACGGCCCAGACUCCUACGGGAGGCAGCAGUGGGGAAUAUUGCACAAUGGGCGAAAGCCUGAUGCAGCGACGCCGCGUGAGGGAUGACGGCCUUCGGGUUGUAAACCUCUUUCAGCAGGGAAGAAGCGAAAGUGACGGUACCUGCAGAAGAAGCACCGGCUAACUACGUGCCAGCAGCCGCGGUAAUACGUAGGGUGCGAGCGUUGUCCGGAAUUAUUGGGCGUAAAGAGCUCGUAGGCGGCUUGUCACGUCGGAUGUGAAAGCCCGGGGCUUAACCCCGGGUCUGCAUUCGAUACGGGCAGGCUAGAGUUCGGUAGGGGAGAUCGGAAUUCCUGGUGUAGCGGUGAAAUGCGCAGAUAUCAGGAGGAACACCGGUGGCGAAGGCGGAUCUCUGGGCCGAUACUGACGCUGAGGAGCGAAAGCGUGGGGAGCGAACAGGAUUAGAUACCCUGGUA